This 142-nucleotide ribosomal RNA is filed under the name Ficus craterostoma. RNAcentral describes it as "5.8S ribosomal RNA". The stretch from base 19 to 139 matches the Rfam family "5.8S ribosomal RNA". From Rfam's summary of the family: 5.8S ribosomal RNA (5.8S rRNA) is a component of the large subunit of the eukaryotic ribosome. It is transcribed by RNA polymerase I as part of the 45S precursor that also contains 18S and 28S rRNA. Lineage: Eukaryota; Viridiplantae; Streptophyta; Magnoliopsida; Rosales; Moraceae. The record is from RNAcentral.
UAAGUAUAUAAAAAGAACGACUCUCGGCAACGGAUAUCUCGGCUCUCGCAUCGAUGAAGAACGUAGCGAAAUGCGAUACUUGGUGUGAAUUGCAGAAUCCCGAAGCCAUCAGGUCGAGGGCACGUCUGCCUGGGCGUCACAC